Molecule: ribosomal RNA, 250 nt
Filed under: uncultured bacterium
Lineage: Bacteria
Description: partial 16S ribosomal RNA
Rfam family: Bacterial small subunit ribosomal RNA
Source: RNAcentral
UGGGGAAUAUUGGACAAUGGGCGAAAGCCUGAUCCAGCAAUGCCGCGUGUGUGAAGAAGGCCUUCGGGUUGUAAAGCACUUUCAGUGGGGAGGAAAGCCUUUGGGUUAAUAACCCAGAGGGGUGACGUUACCUACAGAAGAAGCACCGGCUAACUCUGUGCCAGCAGCCGCGGUAAUACAGAGGGUGCAAGCGUUAAUCGGAAUUACUGGGCGUAAAGCGCUCGUAGGCGGGUGCCUAAGUCGAUUGUGA